GGAGUGGACCAGGCAGUCGCUUGGGCGGCCUCGGUCGCGCAAGAGGAAAGUCCGGGCACCGCAGGACAGGGUGGUGGGUAACGCCCACCGGCCGCGAGGCCAGGGAAAGUGCAGCAGAAAGUAGACCGCCUCGCGCUUCACCGCGCGAGGUAAGGGUGAAACGGUGCGGUAAGAGCGCACCAGCAGAACGGGUGACCGUUCUGGCUAGGUAAACCCCACCCGGUGCAAGGCCAAAUAGGAAGCAAGCCGUCAGGCUGCGAGUCGGUCCGACUCGUUACGACUUCCGGGUAGGCUGCUCGAGGCGGUGAGUAAUUGCCGUCCUAGAGAAAUGGCUGUCCGUGGCAUGGUCCGCCAUGCCGAGACAAAACCCGGCUUAUCGGUCCACUCCGCCU
This 392-nucleotide RNase P RNA is filed under the name Planctomycetota bacterium. Its description in RNAcentral is "Planctomycetes bacterium RNase P RNA component class A". It matches the Rfam family "Bacterial RNase P class A". Rfam says of the family: Ribonuclease P (RNase P) is a ubiquitous endoribonuclease, found in archaea, bacteria and eukarya as well as chloroplasts and mitochondria. Its best characterised activity is the generation of mature 5'-ends of tRNAs by cleaving the 5'-leader elements of precursor-tRNAs. The record is from RNAcentral. Lineage: Bacteria; Pseudomonadati; Planctomycetota.